UACGAAGGGGGCUAGCGUUGCUCGGAAUCACUGGGCGUAAAGCGCACGUAGGCGGCUUUAUAAGUCGGGGGUGAAAGCCUGUGGCUCAACCACAGAAUUGCCUUCGAUACUGUAGAGCUUGAGACCGGAAGAGGUAAGUGGAACUGCGAGUGUAGAGGUGAAAUUCGUAGAUAUCGAGAGGAACACCGGUGGCGAAGGCGGCUACCUGGACGGUGACUGACGCUGAGACGCGAAAGCGUGGGGAGCAAACAGG
RNAcentral lists this ribosomal RNA (253 nucleotides) under uncultured bacterium. Its description in RNAcentral is "partial 16S ribosomal RNA". It matches the Rfam family "Bacterial small subunit ribosomal RNA", at positions 524 to 776 of the family's 1533-position model. The record is from RNAcentral.